This 493-nucleotide ribosomal RNA is filed under the name uncultured bacterium. RNAcentral's name for it is "bacterial SSU rRNA". It matches the Rfam family "Bacterial small subunit ribosomal RNA", at positions 15 to 507 of the family's 1533-position model. The record is from RNAcentral.
GAUCAUGGCUCAGGAUGAACGCUAGCGGCAGGCUUAACGACAUGCAAGUCGAGGGGUAUAGUUCUUCGGAACUAGAGACCGGCGCACGGGUGUCGUAACGCGUAUGCAAUCUACCUUUCACAAAGGGAUAGCCCAGAGAAAUUUGGAUUAAUACCUUAUAGUAAUACGACUUGGCAUCAAGAUGUAUUUAAAGAUUUAUCGGUGAAAGAUGAGCAUGCGUCCCAUUAGCUUGUUGGUAAGGUAACGGCUUACCAAGGCAACGAUGGGUAGGGGUCCUGAGAGGGAGAUCCCCCACACUGUACUGAGACACGGACCAGACUCCUACGGGAGGCCAGCAGUGAGGAAUAUUGGACAAUGGGCGCAAGCCUGAUCCAGCCAUGCCGCGUGCAGGAUGACGGUCCUAUGGAUUGUAAACUGCUUUUGUACAGGAAGAAACCCUUUCACGUGUGGAAGAUUGACGGUACUGUAAGAAUAAGGAUCGGCUAACUCCGUG